AACCGGAGGGGCCCCGGCCUCUGGGACGGAGCGGCGCCCCCGGGAACUCGCUGGAAACGCGAGUUCUCGGCCUUCGCCCAGACCCUCCGAAUCGAAACUCCUGCGGCGCGCGCUGCCAGCCCGAGGGCCCCGCCGUCCAGGGGUCCCCUGACAUCUCACACUUGCGGACUGAAGCUGCGAGGAGCGGAGAACCCGGCCAGGGUCACGGACGGGAGCGUCCGGACUCGGGUUCUCUGGGCCCCAGCCCCCACUCCGCCCCCAGCGAAUCCAAGGUCCCCUGUAGGGAAGGGCCGUCCACACUCCCCAUCCCUUACUGGCUGCAUCCACUGAAGCCCAGACCUGCUGCCUGCAGGACCUCACCCAGGCACCAGGUCGUGCCUGGCGCCUCCUUGAUGCCAGGCCCUGGGGAGACCUGUGGCCACAGAACCCAUGUUCUCCCUGGAGAUGGACAGGAGGCCCCUCUCCUACGCAGAAGCUGUCGUUUUUUCUUCUUAAACACCGUUUGCCCCUCCCUCCACCCACCGAGCCAUCUCUGC
This 536-nucleotide long non-coding RNA is filed under the name Homo sapiens (human). RNAcentral describes it as "non-protein coding lnc-CFAP74-2:3". The record is from RNAcentral. Lineage: Eukaryota; Metazoa; Chordata; Mammalia; Primates; Hominidae.